This 484-nucleotide ribosomal RNA is filed under the name uncultured bacterium. RNAcentral's name for it is "partial 16S ribosomal RNA". It matches the Rfam family "Bacterial small subunit ribosomal RNA", at positions 30 to 507 of the family's 1533-position model. The record is from RNAcentral.
AUUGAACGCUGGCGGCAGGCCUAACACAUGCAAGUCGAGCGGAUGAAGGGAGCUUGCGCCUGGAUUCAGCGGCGGACGGGUGAGUAAGUCCUAGGAAGCUGCCUGGCAGUGGAGGCUAACGUACCGUAACGGGCGCUAAUACCGCAUACGUCCUGAGGGAGAAAGUGGGGGAUCUUCGGACCUCACGCUAUCAGAUGAGCCUAGGUCGGAUUAGCUAGUUGGUGGGGUAACGGCGUGCCAAGGCGACGAUCCGUAACUGGACUGAGAGGAUGACCAGUCACACUGGAACUGAGACACGGUCCAGACUCCUACGGGAGGCAGCAGUGGGGAAUAUUGGACAAUGGGCGAAAGCCUGACGGAGCAAUGCCGCGUGAGUGAAGAAGGUCUUCGGAUUGUAAAGCACUGUAAGUUGGGAGGAAGGACAGUGAGUGAAUCUCUUGCUGUUUUGACGUUACCAACAGAAUAAGCACCGGCUAACUACGUG